CCAAUAGCGUAUAUUAAAGUUGUUGCAGUUAAAAAGCUCGUAGUUGAAUUUCGGGAUUAGCAGGUCGGUCGUGCCACUGGUACGUACUGGUCUUGCUGAUUCCUCCCUCUUGACGAGCCGUAAUGCCAUUAAUUUGGUGUUGCGGGGAAUCAGGACUGUUACUUUUAAAAAAUUAGAGUGUUUAAAGCAGGCAUGAGCUUGAAUACAUUAGCAUGGAAUAAUGAAAUAGGACGUUCGAUCUUAUUUUGUUGGUUUCUAGGAUUGACGUAAUGAUUAAUAGGGAUAGUUGGGGGCAUUAGUAUUCAAUUGUCAGAGGUGAAAUUCUUGGAUUUAUUGAAGACUAACUACUGCGAAAGCAUUUGCCAAGGAUGUUUUCAUUAAUCAAGAACGAAAGUUAGGGGAUCGAAGACGAUCAGAUACCGUCGUAGUCUUAACCAUAAACUAUGCCGACUAGGGAUCGGAUGAUGUUAAUUUUUUAAUGACUCAUUCGGCGCCUUACG
This 500-nucleotide ribosomal RNA is filed under the name uncultured Glomeromycotina. RNAcentral's name for it is "partial small subunit ribosomal RNA". It matches the Rfam family "Eukaryotic small subunit ribosomal RNA", at positions 591 to 1092 of the family's 1831-position model. The record is from RNAcentral. Lineage: Eukaryota; Fungi; Glomeromycota.